RNAcentral lists this ribosomal RNA (475 nucleotides) under uncultured bacterium. RNAcentral describes it as "SSU rRNA". It matches the Rfam family "Bacterial small subunit ribosomal RNA", at positions 26 to 518 of the family's 1533-position model. The record is from RNAcentral.
AGGACGAACGCUGGCGGCGUGCUUAACACAUGCAAGUCGAGCGGAAAGGCCCUUCGGGGUACUCGAGCGGCGAACGGGUGAGUAACACGUGAGCAAUCUGCCCUUAGCUUCGGGAUAGCCCCGGGAAACCGGGAUUAAUACCGAAUACGACCUCGGCCGACAUCGGCUUUGGUGGAAAGUUUUUCGGCUAGGGAUGAACUCGCGGCCUAUCAGCUUGUUGGUGGGGUAAUGGCCUACCAAGGCGACGACGGGUAGCCGGCCUGAGAGGGCGACCGGCCACACUGGGGACUGAGACACGGCCCAGACUCCUACGGGAGGCAGCAGUGGGGAAUAUUGCGCAAUGGGCGAAAGCCUGACGCAGCGACGCCGCGUGGGGGAUGAAGGCCUUCGGGUUGUAAACCCCUUUCAGCAGGGACGAAGCGAGAGUGACGGUACCUGCAGAAGAAGCGCCGGCUAACUACGCGCCAGCAGCCGC